AUUCCAGCUCCAAUAGCGUAUAUUUAAGUUGUUGCAGUUAAAGAGCUCGUAGUUGGAUCUUGGGUCGUAAGGGUCGGUCCGCCUACUCGGUGUGCACCUGCCCUUCCGUCCCUUUUGUCGGCGGCGUGCUCCUGGCCUUAAUUGGCUGGGUCGCGGUUCCGGCGCUGUUACUUUGAAAAAAUUAGAGUGCUCAAAGCAAGCUUAUGCUCUGAAUACAUUAGCAUGGAAUAACGUGAUAGGAGUCUGGUCCUAUUGUGUUGGCCUUCGGGACCGGAGUAAUGAUUAAUAGGGACUGUCGGGGGCAUUCGUAUUUCAUUGUCAGAGGUGAAAUUCUUGGAUUUAUGAAAGACGGACCACUGCGAAAGCAUUUGCCAAGGAUGUUUUCAUUG
This 389-nucleotide ribosomal RNA is filed under the name Embryophyta sp. RNAcentral describes it as "partial small subunit ribosomal RNA". It matches the Rfam family "Eukaryotic small subunit ribosomal RNA", at positions 582 to 975 of the family's 1831-position model. Lineage: Eukaryota; Viridiplantae; Streptophyta. The record is from RNAcentral.